UACGAAGGGGGCUAGCGUUGUUCGGAAUUACUGGGCGUAAAGCGCGUGUAGGCGGUUGUCCAAGGCGGGUGUGAAAGCCUUGAGCUCGACUCAAGAAAUGCACUCGAUACUGGGCGACUAGAGUGCCGGAGAGGAUAGUGGAAUUCCCAGUGUAGCGGUGAAAUGCGUAGAUAUCAGGAGGAACACCGGUGGCGAAGGCGGGUCUCUGGGCCGAUACUGACGCUGAGGAGCGAAAGCGUGGGGAGCGAACAGG
Molecule: ribosomal RNA, 253 nt
Filed under: uncultured bacterium
Lineage: Bacteria
Description: partial 16S ribosomal RNA
Rfam family: Bacterial small subunit ribosomal RNA
Source: RNAcentral